Sardina pilchardus (European sardine) is the source of this 536-nucleotide long non-coding RNA. RefSeq lists it as uncharacterized. The record is from RefSeq and is a predicted model, not a curated record. The transcript is spliced from 4 exons. Lineage: Eukaryota; Metazoa; Chordata; Actinopteri; Clupeiformes; Clupeidae.
GCGUCGUGAAACGCCGCUUGAAUUUGUAAAAGGCAAGCAGCUGGCUACCGGUCUCUCAGCUGCAGUCUUUUCUUACGCAGUCAAUGGUUUCCCCGAUCACUAAAGCCAUUUUCAUCGCCCUGUUUCUUUUUGCCAUCCUACUCAUUCUCUAUGUGAUCCUGUGGUACAUAUGCCGCGACGUCGAUAAUGACUACAUCUAGACGGAGGAAGGUCACCGGGCUGAAAUGUCAAGGGUGUAUAAGGUGGGUGUGUUGGUAUUUCAACCCCAUCAGAGGAACUGUCCUUCAGGAAGUGGAGCCUCCUGGAUCACAGUGUGGAGCUGUAUGACAACCACCACAACCAUCAGGCCAUGAGCUGCUGCAGCAGUUAUAAGAUGCAGAGAGUCGCCCACUUCCAUCCAUGAAGACUGGAAAGACUGUUUUCCCCAGAGGUUUGUGAAUUAUGGCUUCCCAGGCUCUGGAGCAAAGCAAGAAAUCAGUCGACAUGAGAGCCUGUCGACAGAUUUUGUCUGGGAGACAAAAUGACACGGAUCCAUG